AACGAACGCUGGCGGCAUGCCUAACACAUGCAAGUCGAACGACACCUUCGGGUCUGGUGGCGCUCGGGUGCGUAACGCGGGGGAACCUGCCCUUAGGUUCGGAAUAACUCCCCGAAGGGGGUGCUAAUACCGGAUAAUGUCUUCGGACCACAGAUUUAUCGCCUUUGGAUGGGCCCGCGUUGGAUUAGCUAGUUGGUAGGGUAAAAGCCUACCAAGGCGACGAUCCUUAGCUGGUCUGAGAGGAUGAUCAGCCACACUGGGACUGAGACACGGCUCAGACUCCUACGGGAGGCAGCAGUGGGGAAUAUUGGACAAUGGGCGAAAGUCUGAUCCAGCAAUGCCGUGUGAGUGAUGAAGGUCUUAGGGUUGUAAAGCCCUUUUAACCGGGAUGAUAAUGACAGUACCGGGAGAAUAAGCCCCGGCUAACUCCGUG
This 433-nucleotide ribosomal RNA is filed under the name uncultured bacterium. RNAcentral describes it as "partial 16S ribosomal RNA". It matches the Rfam family "Bacterial small subunit ribosomal RNA", at positions 29 to 507 of the family's 1533-position model. The record is from RNAcentral.